This 253-nucleotide ribosomal RNA is filed under the name uncultured bacterium. RNAcentral describes it as "partial 16S ribosomal RNA". It matches the Rfam family "Bacterial small subunit ribosomal RNA", at positions 524 to 776 of the family's 1533-position model. The record is from RNAcentral.
UACAGAGGGGGCAAGCGUUGUUCGGAAUUACUGGGCAUAAAGGGCGCGUAGGCGGCCUGCUAAGUCGAACGUGAAAUCCCCGGGCUUAACCCGGGAACUGCGUCCGAUACUGGCUGGCUUGAAUCCGGGAGAGGGAUGCGGAAUUCCAGGUGUAGCGGUGAAAUGCGUAGAUAUCUGGAGGAACACCGGUGGCGAAGGCGGCAUCCUGGACCGGUAUUGACGCUGAUGCGCGAAAGCCAGGGGAGCAAACGGG